AGAGGAGUUGGUUUGUUGAAAAUCUCAUCAAUUUAAGUAAAUCUAGACUGUUUCAAAUAUUGUUUACUAUAAUACUAUUGCAGCUUGAAUGGAUAACUACUGCUGUUUGUGCAUAUCACUACCUGAAUACCCCUCAUUGUUGUACAUAGAAAUUGUGCCUCUUUUAUUAGCAUAACAACAACGCCUGAUAUGGAUUGUUUAUCAGUUUAUGUGUUAAUAAUUUUUAUUUUGCAGUGGAUAUAUGGCACCUGAAUAUGCAAUGCGAGGUUAUUUAACCGAUAAGGCAGAUGUGUAUAGUUUUGGACAGUUGGUGUUAGAAG
RNAcentral lists this unclassified non-coding RNA (320 nucleotides) under Hevea brasiliensis (rubber tree). Lineage: Eukaryota; Viridiplantae; Streptophyta; Magnoliopsida; Malpighiales; Euphorbiaceae. The record is from RNAcentral.